GAUGAACGCUGGCGGCGUGCCUAAUACAUGCAAGUCGAGCGAACAGAUGAGGAGCUUGCUCCUCUGACGUUAGCGGCGGACGGGUGAGUAACACGUGGAUAACCUACCUAUAAGACUGGGAUAACUUGGGAAACCGGAGCUAAUACCGGAUAAUAUAUUGAACCGCAUGGUUCAAUAGUGAAAGACGGUUUUGCUGUCACUUAUAGAUGGAUCCGCGCCGCAUUAGCUAGUUGGUAAGGUAACGGCUUACCAAGGCGACGAUGCGUAGCCGACCUGAGAGGGUGAUCGGCCACACUGGAACUGAGACACGGUCCAGACUCCUACGGGAGGCAGCAGUAGGGAAUCUUCCGCAAUGGGCGAAAGCCUGACGGAGCAACGCCGCGUGAGUGAUGAAGGUCUUCGGAUCGUAAAACUCUGUUAUUAGGGAAGAACAAAUGUGUAAGUAACUAUGCACGUCUUGACGGUACCUAAUCAGAAAGCCACGGCUAACUACGUG
RNAcentral lists this ribosomal RNA (496 nucleotides) under uncultured bacterium. Its description in RNAcentral is "partial 16S ribosomal RNA". It matches the Rfam family "Bacterial small subunit ribosomal RNA", at positions 28 to 507 of the family's 1533-position model. The record is from RNAcentral.